Molecule: long non-coding RNA, 1508 nt
Organism: Gopherus flavomarginatus (Mexican gopher tortoise)
Lineage: Eukaryota; Metazoa; Chordata; Testudines; Testudinidae
Exons: 3
Source: RefSeq, a predicted model, not a curated record
AGCACUGGGUGAUUGUUGCUGAAAUCUCACAAGUAGUUUCUUCUCCACUGCAUGUCCACGUGAUGUUAUCCAUCCAAUCUGCUUGUCAGUUACUGCACAGGUCCCUGAAAUACACAAAAAUCUUGGAAUCCAGAGAUUUCGCUGAGAAUUUUCUCUGAUCUAGUUUUGCAGAAUUGGGCCUCUCGUUUCUCAGGGCCAAAUCCUGGCUGUACCUGCACCCACAGCGCAGAGCUGGAUGGAGCUGUGCAUAAACUGGACUGUUUGAUCUCUAAAAGGCUGAAGAAAACCCCAGUCCUGAUACCCCAUACAUUGGUCCAGGGCAGAGGUGUUCUGGGCAGUGUGAGUUGGUUAAAGUGACAGUAGACAGGAUGAAGAAGGAUUAUAUGGCAAUGGAGAACUGACUGGAUCCCUCAACCCAUUAUUUUGAUUUUUUUUUAAAGAAGAAUGCUGUGGAGAAGACUGAUACCUAUAUCAUUACUUUACAAUGGGUCUGGAAAUGCUGUCUUUAGACUUUCAGAGACUGCAGCUCCCUGAGAGUACCUUGGUGCGUUGAUCACUGGAGGAAGGAAAACAAACGCCUUCAAAUUAAAAUGAAGAUAACUGAAAACAGUCUCAGGCCCCUGAAAAUUGUACAACAUAUCAACUAGCCACUAGCCUGAAGAUCAGUGAGCAAAGACAGAUGUGUACUAUGGCAUGUGAUGCUCAGACCCUUCAGAAUAAAAUUUUAAGAGCUGUGUGGGCUGUUAAAGAUAUUUCCUGUUGAGGAUAAGUUUUACCCAGACAAUAUGUCUACAUUGCUUAGAAAUAAUAUUUCCUGACACUAAGAAAUCACCAAAAAGCUUGUUUCACUACUCUUAACUAAUUUCUUGCCUUACAAUUACCCUACAGUCUCCUCCCCCAUUGUAGUUUAUCGCCUUUCCAUUCACCCACUUGCCCCUUCUUCUGCCCUUUUCUUCUCCCCUCCUUCUAUUAUUGCCCAGUAAACGAUACAAAAAUGAGAGGUGAGAAGAGGUAUCAGGACAAAUGCUCGGCUAGUGUAAAUUGUCAUAGUGCCAUUGAAAUCACUCGUGAUUAACUCGUAAGUGCCAUUCACUCAUCUGAAGUUAAUGGAGCUAUGAUUAUUUAGAACACCUGAAGUUCCGUCCCAUAACGAUAUUUUAAAAACUGCUAUCUAAGUUUUGGUACCUAAACAAAGGUGCACUGAUUUUCUUUGCAGGUGUUGAGCACCCAGUGAUAUCAUCUUGCAUCCAACAAAGUGGGUAUUCACCCACGAAAGCUCAUGCUCCAAUACGUCUGUUAGUCUAUAAGGUGACACAGGACUCUUUGCUGCUUUUACAGAUCCAGACUAACAUGGCUACCCCUCUGAUACCUGACACAGUGAUAUCACAAAAUCUUAGCAUUUUAAGUCAUAUUCUCUACAUUAUAUUAUUGAUGCAAAACUGUCUUGAACCAGAUUUAUAUUUAAAAAUAUGUAUAUUUUCCAAAUUAAAGAAAAGUAGAUCCAGAGU